GAAUGCUUAAUUAGGAUGAUGAAGGUUGGAGUAGGAUGCUCCAUGGAGUCUCCUCAAGAUAGAAUGGCCAUAAGUGAUGCAGUCAAUGAGUUGCAAUCAAUCAGAAAGUAUUAUAUGGGAGCUAGAGCAGGCCUCUCCACUCAAGCAAGAUCAUGAAGUGUGAAAUUUGAAAUGAGGCAGCUAAAGGAGCAGAGCAGAGCAGAGUUUAUAAGGGUGGAAGAAGCAAUAGUGGCAGGAUAAACAGAGCAAAUAGCAGGUUGAUGUUUGCAUUGGAAAAAAAAAAAAAAGUAUUUCUCUACGA
Manihot esculenta (cassava) is the source of this 301-nucleotide long non-coding RNA. RefSeq lists it as uncharacterized. The record is from RefSeq and is a predicted model, not a curated record. The transcript has 3 exons. NCBI's taxonomy places the organism in Eukaryota, Viridiplantae, Streptophyta, Magnoliopsida, Malpighiales, Euphorbiaceae.